GUGUGUGUGUGUGUGUGUGUUGGAAGCCACCCAGAGUGGCUGGAGCAACCCAGCCAGACGGGCAGGGUAUAUAAUAAUAAUAAUAAUAAUAAUAAUAAUAAUAAUAAUAAUUUAUUUAUACCCCACCCAUCCGGCUGGGUUUCCCCAGCCACUCUGGGCAGCUCCCAACAGAAUAUUAAAAUACAGU
This is a non-coding RNA of Podarcis lilfordi (Lilford's wall lizard), 187 nucleotides long. The record is from the annotation of a GenBank genome assembly. NCBI's taxonomy places the organism in Eukaryota, Metazoa, Chordata, Lepidosauria, Squamata, Lacertidae.